AUUGAACGCUGGCGGCAUGCUUUACACAUGCAAGUCGAACGGCAGCGCGGGCUUCGGCCUGGCGGCGAGUGGCGAACGGGUGAGUAAUACAUCGGAACGUGCCCAGUAGUGGGGGAUAGCUCGGCGAAAGCCGGAUUAGUACCGCAUACGACCUGAGGGUGAAAGCGGGGGAUCUUCGGACCUCGCGCUAUUGGAGCGGCCGAUGGCAGAUUAGCUAGUUGGUGGGGUAAAGGCCUACCAAGGCGACGAUCUGUAGCUGGUCUGAGAGGACGACCAGCCACACUGGGACUGAGACACGGCCCAGACUCCUACGGGAGGCAGCAGUGGGGAAUUUUGGACAAUGGGCGAAAGCCUGAUCCAGCAAUGCCGCGUGUGUGAUGAAGGCCUUCGGGUUGUAAAGCACUUUUGGCGGGAACGAAAAGGACUGUGCCAAUACCACGGUUCGAUGACGGUACCCGCAGAAUAAGCACCGGCUAACUACGUG
This 484-nucleotide ribosomal RNA is filed under the name uncultured bacterium. Its description in RNAcentral is "partial 16S ribosomal RNA". It matches the Rfam family "Bacterial small subunit ribosomal RNA", at positions 29 to 507 of the family's 1533-position model. The record is from RNAcentral.